UAUGGGGGGGGCAAGCGUUGUUCGGAAUUACUGGGCGUAAAGGGCGCGUAGGCGGUCAGAUAAGUCAGCUGUGAAAACCUCGGGCUCAACCUGGGAAUUGCGAUGGAGACUGCAAGGCUUGAAUCUGGCAGAGGGGGGUAGAAUUCCACGUGUAGCAGUGAAAUGCGUAGAGAUGUGGAGGAACACCGAUGGCGAAGGCAGCCCCCUGGGUCAAGAUUGACGCUCAUGCACGAAAGCGUGGGGAGCAAACAGG
RNAcentral lists this ribosomal RNA (253 nucleotides) under uncultured bacterium. RNAcentral describes it as "partial 16S ribosomal RNA". It matches the Rfam family "Bacterial small subunit ribosomal RNA", at positions 524 to 776 of the family's 1533-position model. The record is from RNAcentral.